Molecule: long non-coding RNA, 2115 nt
Filed under: Sus scrofa (pig)
Lineage: Eukaryota; Metazoa; Chordata; Mammalia; Artiodactyla; Suidae
Description: lncRNA (ENSSSCG00070012057.1)
Source: RNAcentral
CAAGCUCCUUCUGCCACUUGACCCCCGCCUCCCCACACAUCAAGCCCCACCCUCCCUCCACCUCCCCUAGUCCCUUAGCCUCCUAAGCUUCACCUUCUCCCGAGGAUAAAAUGCCAUGGGGGUCGGGGAAACCUGAGCAGGACCUGUUCGCGGGCUCUUGGUAGAGAACUGACGCCCGACGGCCUGGCUACCCAGGCCUGAGGGCAGAAGGACCCUGAUGGGGCUGACUUGUGAACCAAUGCCUACCAGGCCAAGCGGCCCUCCCCGAGACCCACCUGUGUGAGCCCUGCCAUUCCAAAACGUCGCAGCCCUGGCACAAAGGAGUGCUCAGGCUCCCAAGCAGAGAUGCCCCCAGCGGCCUCUUCCGGACCCUGGUGACUCCUGGCACGACCCCGCUGUACAGAAGGGGCCAAUGACAUCUGGACCCGCUUGGGACCUGCCUGCCUCUGACCCAGCCGCCUUUGGCCCCUGAAGCAUGCACGCAACCUCAGGAGAAGCAAGGUUGCUGCCUGGGAAGGGGUAUGGUACAGACAAGCCAGGGCCAGGAGGAGUCUGAAGCUACAUACCAAGAGGAAUCUGCAAGCCCAGUGGUGGCAUCUCUGCAAGGCUGUCUGUGUUCACAGUGAAGCAGAGCCUGAACAGAGUCAAGAACGGCCUAGCUACCCUUGCAGGGUUGGCCCAGAGUGGCCAAGUUGGUGAGGGGCCCUGCGAAGGUGCCUGGCUGUUCUGCGGGCUGGACUAUUGCUGGUGAUGAGGAUAUUGGCAUACGGAUGCUGCCUGCCGCUGCCGCUGCCGCUGCCGCUGCCGCUGCUAUUGUUGCUAUGGAUGACAGUGAUGAUGGCGGUGGUGGCGGUGGUGGCGGUGGCGGUGGUGGUGGGAAGAAGAGAAGAGGAGGAGGAGGAGGAGAGGGUGAAAGGAUGGUGUCUCCACCUGCACCCCACCCCUCCUCUGUCAGGCUGCCAAAGGAAGGAGAGGAAGGCUUGGUGGGGGCAGGGGAAGGGGUGACUGCCAUUUCUGGAGCCACAGUGCCAUCCAGCGGAAAGUGUAUGGGAAAAGGCCAGGCAGCAGCCUGGCUUCUGCCAGGCACAGAGAGCAGCAAGGCUGUGCUGGGCUGACCGGGCUGUGCUCAAGCCCCAGGUUCCCCCUGCAGGGGAGCUGGGCACCGAGGCCGGUCGGUCGGGGCCGUCGGAGGCCCUGAGGGCCUUGGCCUGCCAGCAGGACCCGCUGGGGGAGGCAGGAGCUCCAGGAGCCCUGGACACAAGCCGGCAGCCCCUAGGCAGAGCAGCCCAGACAGCUGAGCUUCCCGUUUGUCAGCCAUUUUGGGGUGGGCCCAGAGGAAUUCCACCCCGUUUCCUCUGGUGUCCCUGCUGCGGAGCGGAGUAGCGUAGCGGGGCGCCCUGCCUCGGGGCACACCGGCGUCAGGGGUCCCCUUUCCCCACCUGGAGCCCAGGCCCUUAGGAGUUCUGGGACCAGGGCCAUUUGCCCGCCCCUGGCACUGCUCCCCGCGGUAGCCAUCUUGGGCGGCCUCUGGGGUUUCUGAGGGCCUUCUCCAGCUGUGGGCCUCGGGCCCACUCUCCCGUGGGGCACACAGGCGGAGGGACAGCCAGGGGCCCUUCGCCCCUGUGCACCCGCUGCACCCUCCGGACCACCCCGCCCGCACUGGGCACAGCACAGCCCCCCCCCUCUGUCUCUGUCUCUGUCUCUGUCUCUCUCUCUCUCUCUCCCCCUCCCGGAGGGCCUCUGCCUUGGGCCCUGCUAACCGGCUCUGACAGAAACUAUCUCCGCUUGAUGGCAGUAUGGCUCCACCAAUGCCAACCAAUGCUUACCCCCCUCCCCCUCCAACACCCGCCCCCAGGGCCUGGAGCCUCCUGCCCUACCAGGGUGAAAGCAAAAGCAAAACGCAACUGACACAGACAGUCCCAGGAAGAAGCACAGAAAAGGAAAGGAACCAGCCACCUGGACCCAUGCCGCUCACCAAAUGCACUGGGCAGAACGACUGCUGACCAGGAGGCGGGACCCCCUGCAGGCCUUUCCCCUUCUUUGCUCCAACCCCAUUUUUCCUAGCUCCAGCUCUGGAGAGAAGCAAAAGGCCAAGGACACACCCACAGGCCUGGG